RNAcentral lists this ribosomal RNA (468 nucleotides) under uncultured bacterium. Its description in RNAcentral is "partial 16S ribosomal RNA". It matches the Rfam family "Bacterial small subunit ribosomal RNA", at positions 28 to 507 of the family's 1533-position model. The record is from RNAcentral.
GACGAACGCUGGCGGCGUGCUUAACACAUGCAAGUCGAACGGAAAGGCCCUGCUUUUGUGGGGUGCUCGAGUGGCGAACGGGUGAGUAACACGUGAGUAACCUGCCCUUGACUUUGGGAUAACUUCAGGAAACUGGGGCUAAUACCGGAUAGGAGCUCCUGCUGCAUGGUGGGGGUUGGAAAGUUUCGGCGGUUGGGGAUGGACUCGCGGCUUAUCAGCUUGUUGGUGGGGUAGUGGCUUACCAAGGCUUUGACGGGUAGCCGGCCUGAGAGGGUGACCGGCCACAUUGGGACUAAGAUACGGACCAAACUCCUACGGGAGGCAGCAGUGGGGAAUAUUGCACAAUGGGCGGAAGCCUGAUGCAGCAACGCCGCGUGCGGGAUGACGGCCUUCGGGUUGUAAACCGCUUUCGCCUGUGACGAAGCGUGAGUGACGGUAAUGGGUAAAGAAGCACCGGCUAACUACGUG